Molecule: long non-coding RNA, 1613 nt
Filed under: Mytilus galloprovincialis (Mediterranean mussel)
Lineage: Eukaryota; Metazoa; Mollusca; Bivalvia; Mytilida; Mytilidae
Source: RNAcentral
GACAAUUAGUUUUUCAAAUUCCAAGAGAUGUAUACGUACAUUAUGAAAAUGAUCUUAAGUUUAUCAAUAUUAAGUAGCAUGUGUUCACAUUAGCAUAACAUCACUGCUUUUGUUUUCAGAACUGGACGAUCGGAGCAUACAGUCAUCAAGUUUGUAUAUUUUAUCUAGUCCCAAAUUCGAAAAAUUAGAUCGAUAUCAAAUAUUCACUAUUUUAGUUAUUAUUUCAUGUAUUUAUGACGUUUCACAUACUAGUAUUAACUAUAUAAUGCCCGUCAAUACCCGUUAUAAAAUUUAUUUACUGGAAUCUACCAUGCAUGAACAAGCUCAAAUAUCACAAUAAGAAGGUGUGAAAUGUAAAUAUCAACGACAAAACUAUCCAUAAGAGACUAACCGGAGUAGAUGUAAGAAAUGUUGUGUCAUUGUAUUGUCUUCGACUACUACAAAAGCCCCUUUAACAUAUAUCGAUAUGACAAAACUAGAAUUAGAAAAGAACCCAGGCAUAUAAACAACACGAAUAUAAUCGACAGCAUCUUACGACAAUCAAAUUCAAAAGUGCAAUUAUUUUGUCUUACAGAAGAUAAUGAAAGCAUUAACAUAAUUUAAAAAAAAAAUAUAUCAUAAGGAGUUUUAAAUAACAACCCGAGAUAAAUAGUUAAAAUGCACGUGCUCUAAUCUAUGAAAUACAGCCCUUGGAUGGUGUAAACUUCCCAAAACAACGUGUAUGGUGUAAUGGUGUAUGGCAUAUGGUGCAAUGGUGUAAGGUGUAUGGUGCUAUGGUGUAUGGUGUAAGGGGAAUGGUGUAAUGGUGUAUGAGGAAUGGUGUGAUUGUGUAACGUGCGAUCGGGAAUGGUGUGAAUGAUAAUGUACGACCUUUCAUUGGCUACAAACGAAGUUUUUUUUAUUUCAUUUUUUAGGAUUGUUAGCAUAAACAUAAUAAAAAUCUUAAUAUUUAAAAUUUAAUUGCAUUAUGGGUAAUUUCGGAUCGUGUAGAUAGAAUGGGGAAUGGUGUAUGGUGUAAAGUGUAAGGUGUACAUGGUGUAUGGUGCAAAGGUGUUACGUGUAUGGUGUAAUGGUACAAGGUGUAUGGUGUAAUGGGGUAUGGUGUAUGGUGUAAUGGUGUAUGGUGUUAGUGGGAAGUUUACACCAUCCAAGGACUGUAUAUUGGAUAAUUGUUGACACGGAGAAUAGUAUUAAAACAAGUCAUUUCAAUUUAACUUUACUAUAUACAUCAAGUAGUUGUUUUCGCUUUAAGUAAUGACGAUAAGAGGUUUUAAUAAAGCCGAUGCAACUGUGACUAAUCUCGAUAAUAUCACUCUUUCUUAUUACCUGCGAUUGUCAAUGAUUGUAUUACACAUAUUAAAUAAUUGCAUUCAUACUUAGUCAUGUCGUUAAAAAGGAAGAUAAUUGUUAUAUAAAAAUAAAUUCUUGGGUUUGUAUUGCUCUUUCGAUAGUUUUCAAAGCAGCGUUUAGUGUCUUUCCUUUAUCAGAUGUCUUCAAGGAAAUUGUGAAAUCAAAUUGUAAUACAUGCCAUAUAUUAUUUGUUCAAUGAUUAACAGGUGUUUAUACAAUAAGGAAUGAUAAUGCUGACGACAAAAACAUAGCUAGGGUUACCG